Non-coding RNA from Ictidomys tridecemlineatus (thirteen-lined ground squirrel), 3755 nucleotides. The record is from RefSeq and is a predicted model, not a curated record. NCBI's taxonomy places the organism in Eukaryota, Metazoa, Chordata, Mammalia, Rodentia, Sciuridae.
AAAGCAGUUUGAAAACCCAGGCUCAAUGGGCUCUUGGACCAGAUAUGCUUGGUGGCCAUGGCAGAAGACUGGCUGCAGAGAGAGGUUUUUGUGCUCUUUGGGGGAUUUUCCCCAGCCCUGAGCUCAGUUUUCUGGAUUAAACCCAUUUUCUUGACAUUUCAGGGCAAACUUCUACUAAUCAAGUUUCUCCAGUUAGGAUAUCUACGGAGUCCUCACCUGAACAGAGUUCAUCUGCAGCUCUAGUAAAAAUACCCUUUGAAGCAAAAUAGUAGAGUGUUCAAAAUGCUUAAAGAAUGAUGAAGAAAUAGGGGGGGGGGGGAAAUGUUUCUAGUAGAGCUCCCUUUGUGCUUUUUCGUUUACAGUGAGCGGGACAUUUAAAUUAUUUUGUGAUUUGUUGAUUUUUAAGUUUAUUUUUUCUUUCUUUUAUAUUCUAAAGGCCCUGCAGGCAGCGAUGCCCACCAGCAGAGGGGCGGAUUGGCAGCAGCCCGGGUGCUCUUGCCGGGCAACCCCGCACAGUCAAGGGGAGGACCCAGGAGACAGAGGGCGCGGCGAAGACGCAGGGCGGAGCGGCAGGCGCUGGGUGAGGGUCCCAACGCCCGGAGGCCCCGCCGGCGGGGGAGGGGCACCCAGAGGAUCCCGAUGCCGCCCCGCCCCCGGACCCGCUCCCGCCUCCCGUUCCCCAGCCCCAGUUCCUCAGAUUCAGUCGCGCGCGGGGGUACCGGGGUAAGGCACGUCGCCCGCCAAACGGGAACCGAGCUCCCCAGUCCUUUUACUUGCAGUGUCCCCCGGCCGAUCACCAGUUCGCGCCCCGGGCAGUAACGACCCCGGGGGGAAACCGGGUCGGGUCGCGGGAGGAAAGGGUCUCGCGGAGUGCUGGCACACCACCCAGCCGCCGCCGCAGACGCCUCUCUAAUGCCAAGCUCUGAGCGGAAAUAGAUUGUCCCUGUGUCGGGCGGGGCAGAAGCGGGUUCGGAGGAGGGGACAGGAGGCAAAGUGGCCGCGCAUCUCGGACAACUUUGCUGGGAAACCCGGGUGACAGCGGACAGAGGUGGUGCAGCCGCGGCCGUUUUCCCGAGCGAGCUUAACCGGCACUGGGCGCCGGGUCUGGUACCCCAGAUGCUGCUGUGAACUGAGGAGGAAGAGGAGGAGGAGGACAGGGUGGCUGUUGACAGGAGGAGCAGAAAGGGAGGGAGCCCAGCCCCAGAGUGCUAGGGAAAGCCGCCCUCCAUGUCCUCGGCCCUAGGAGGGGCGCCCGCGCCCGGGGACGCUUCACCCCGAAUGCCCACUGGCUGUCCCAGGAGACCACCAACUCUUCCAGCGGCGCUAGCAAGAGGCAGCGAAGAGAAAAGAAGACCCGAGAGCAAGAGAGCGAGUGGAGGAAAGGAGAGACGCCGAGGAUCACGUACCUUGAGCUCCUCAAUGUCCAGAUUUAAUGACAGGUGAUCGUUGAUGGUUACCGCGGUGGAACACAGCUCAGUCGAAUCAACCACGGAGGGGGAAAAAAAAAUCCACUCUAUUUAAGAUUAUUUCUUCUUCUGCAAUAAGCUUAGAAACCAGCGAAUUGCUGCAUCCCAAGAAAAAAAGCUGCUUCCCUGGACAGCAUCAUGCGGCAAAUUUCAAGCAAAUGUGUUCAAACUGAAGAGAAGAGUAUAUGAUAAAAGCCUUCCUCCGUCAGGCUUACUCUGGUAGCUAAUUUAGCACACUGUGAGUCCCAGACAUUAGCAAUGAUCAAUUUCCCUGGCAAGAUAACCGAAUCCCCCGAAGUCCUGCAUAGACUUAAAAAAUGUCUUGCAGCUAAGAGGUAUUCUCUCAGUGGGGAAAAAGAAGAUAAUAAAGUCUGAAGGGAACGUUCUCCUUUGAAGGUUAUGCUAAAAGAGUUGAGAGAAUAGGAGGUGGAUCCUACAGAGAGAAGAGGGAGAGAGAGAAAGAGAGAGGGAGAGAGCAAUUUUCCUCCUGCUUUGCUGUUUUACUGGCCUUCACCACCAGGUGACUGACUUCACUUCUCUCUUCCCACAGCCAGCACUAAGGGGAUUUCUCUCAUCUGUCAAAAAGCAACAUUUCCUCUCCAGACAAAUACUGUCGCUGGGUCUUAAAGACUGCCCUCUGUCCGGAAUGCGCUAGGUGACAGGCAUUUUAAUUCAUUGCGAAUGUUGCCUCAUCUAGCUCCUAGGGAUCUGGGAGGAACAUGCUUGCAUCCUUCUCCUGCAUUCAAUUGGAUCUCUGCUGGUUUUGUUUUCAGGGUUAAAAAAAAAAAAGAAAGAAAGAAAAGGAACUUAAAAAAGACUUUUAAAGAUAAUGACAAAUAGGAGUAUUAAAAGAAAUUUCUUUCAGUGAUGUGAUGCUUCUUAGGAUAAUGCAGCCUUUUAUUGGAAAAUUGUUUCUUAAAUACUUGACAGGUCAGUGGGUUUAACUCAUGGAUAGUAAAUUUGGGGAAAGGACUCAUUUUCUUCAUUGAAAUGUCUCCAUGUAAAAUCUUGACUUUUGAAUUUUUUUUCAGAAAAGAAAAAACAGCCGUGUAAAUGCUUUUGUUUUUCAAAAGUAUUCUCCCCCCUUCUUUUUUUUUCCAUAGAAUUUAGAUGUGUGCAAAGUCUAAUCUCCUAGGACUUUUUUUCUAACUUCAUUUUGGACCUGUCUUGCUGGGCUCCAGCACCUUAUCUGUGGGACCACCUGCCAUUUCUUCUGCCAGGGGCUCUUUAACACAACUGGGGCAGUUUUCUCCUCCUCUCACUCUUUGUAUAUUUGACACUGUCAUGCUUUAGACUAAAAUCACCUCUUCAGACAAGAUUUUCAUCAGGUGAGUCCCUCAGAUAUACUCCUUGCCACAGUAUUUGCUUCAGUGUAUCAUUAUUUAAUAUAUGCACUUAUUAUCUGUUUGUUUAUGUGACUCCCUCAGUAGAGUAUAGCUCUUUAGGGCAUGUUCCACACCUUCUUAAUCAUCAGUAUUUCCAGAGAGCCUAGCAAAUAAUAAGCACAUCAAUGUGUUUAGUACAGGUAAACAUGUGGAAAGAAGACUUACAGCUAGUAUUCUAAUGUCUAAACCCCAGUAAUCCCUCCUUCCCUCCCCCCACCAGCAUGUAUAUCCCAAUUUUCCUGUCUUUUCUGCAGCUAAGGUUCUAGGGCUCAGCUUUAUCACAGGCACACUGAGUUCUACCCUAUUUGCUUAUCAAGGCUAUCUUCCUCUCAAACUUUGAUUUCUGCCUAUAGUAUUCAAGGUUUACAUCAAGUAUCCAAUAAUUCAUCAUUAGUGAGCAUUUAAUUCUCAAAAUAAAUUUACAUGUUCAUUUUACAUAAUUAUUUUAUAUAGCAUAUGAUAAAAAUAGUAACAUUGCAGGUUGAAAGUAGGUGAACUUGUAUUAAAAAACUCUAAAAAAGAGCUACUUUUCUAGAAAGUAUCAGCGAUUCCAUCAGAAUAAAUAUGAUUACAUAAUAUUUUCUAAAAGACAAGCCUUUUCACAUAUAAUACCUUUAUAUUCCCUAUGAACUUCUCAUUGCUAACAUUUAGAAAAAUGGUAAAACAAAAAAUUUUAUUUUGAAUGUAUUAGCAAAAUGAUACUAUUUCUCAGGUAGCUUUCAGAUUUGCAAUUGUGAAAAAGCAUCUAUAAAACAAAUGUAUCUAUAAAAGAAAAUAUUAAAGUAUUAUUCAGAAAUUGAAGAUUCCAUAAAGUUUCUUAGAAUGGCAUAAAAUUAUGAUCAGAAGAAAAUUUGAUGUUGUACUUAACUAUAAAAUUGAUUAAACUUACCAUAUAUAAAAGAUA